This is a long non-coding RNA of Bufo bufo (common toad), 125 nucleotides long. RefSeq lists it as uncharacterized. The record is from RefSeq and is a predicted model, not a curated record. The transcript is spliced from 3 exons. NCBI's taxonomy places the organism in Eukaryota, Metazoa, Chordata, Amphibia, Anura, Bufonidae.
AUUGAAUAAUUAUGUACUCUGCACACCUUGGGUCCAGUGUGGGUGCCUGUGAGAGUGGUUUAGACAAUAUAGAUUAAAUAUCCACGGCACUCCAAAAAUUCUCCUGCAAAAUAAAGCCCCAAAUU